RNAcentral lists this ribosomal RNA (2921 nucleotides) under Staphylococcus aureus H81437. Its description in RNAcentral is "bacterial LSU rRNA". It matches the Rfam family "Bacterial large subunit ribosomal RNA". Lineage: Bacteria; Bacillati; Bacillota; Bacilli; Caryophanales; Staphylococcaceae. The record is from RNAcentral.
UUAAGUUAUUAAGGGCGCACGGUGGAUGCCUUGGCACUAGAAGCCGAUGAAGGACGUUACUAACGACGAUAUGCUUUGGGGAGCUGUAAGUAAGCUUUGAUCCAGAGAUUUCCGAAUGGGGAAACCCAGCAUGAGUUAUGUCAUGUUAUCGAUAUGUGAAUACAUAGCAUAUCAGAAGGCACACCCGGAGAACUGAAACAUCUUAGUACCCGGAGGAAGAGAAAGAAAAUUCGAUUCCCUUAGUAGCGGCGAGCGAAACGGGAAGAGCCCAAACCAACAAGCUUGCUUGUUGGGGUUGUAGGACACUCUAUACGGAGUUACAAAGGACGACAUUAGACGAAUCAUCUGGAAAGAUGAAUCAAAGAAGGUAAUAAUCCUGUAGUCGAAAAUGUUGUCUCUCUUGAGUGGAUCCUGAGUACGACGGAGCACGUGAAAUUCCGUCGGAAUCUGGGAGGACCAUCUCCUAAGGCUAAAUACUCUCUAGUGACCGAUAGUGAACCAGUACCGUGAGGGAAAGGUGAAAAGCACCCCGGAAGGGGAGUGAAAUAGAACCUGAAACCGUGUGCUUACAAGUAGUCAGAGCCCGUUAAUGGGUGAUGGCGUGCCUUUUGUAGAAUGAACCGGCGAGUUACGAUUUGAUGCAAGGUUAAGCAGUAAAUGUGGAGCCGUAGCGAAAGCGAGUCUGAAUAGGGCGUUUAGUAUUUGGUCGUAGACCCGAAACCAGGUGAUCUACCCUUGGUCAGGUUGAAGUUCAGGUAACACUGAAUGGAGGACCGAACCGACUUACGUUGAAAAGUGAGCGGAUGAACUGAGGGUAGCGGAGAAAUUCCAAUCGAACCUGGAGAUAGCUGGUUCUCUCCGAAAUAGCUUUAGGGCUAGCCUCAAGUGAUGAUUAUUGGAGGUAGAGCACUGUUUGGACGAGGGGCCCCUCUCGGGUUACCGAAUUCAGACAAACUCCGAAUGCCAAUUAAUUUAACUUGGGAGUCAGAACAUGGGUGAUAAGGUCCGUGUUCGAAAGGGAAACAGCCCAGACCACCAGCUAAGGUCCCAAAAUAUAUGUUAAGUGGAAAAGGAUGUGGCGUUGCCCAGACAACUAGGAUGUUGGCUUAGAAGCAGCCAUCAUUUAAAGAGUGCGUAAUAGCUCACUAGUCGAGUGACACUGCGCCGAAAAUGUACCGGGGCUAAACAUAUUACCGAAGCUGUGGAUUGUCCUUUGGACAAUGGUAGGAGAGCGUUCUAAGGGCGUUGAAGCAUGAUCGUAAGGACAUGUGGAGCGCUUAGAAGUGAGAAUGCCGGUGUGAGUAGCGAAAGACGGGUGAGAAUCCCGUCCACCGAUUGACUAAGGUUUCCAGAGGAAGGCUCGUCCGCUCUGGGUUAGUCGGGUCCUAAGCUGAGGCCGACAGGCGUAGGCGAUGGAUAACAGGUUGAUAUUCCUGUACCGCCUAUAAUCGUUUUAAUCGAUGGGGGGACGCAGUAGGAUAGGCGAAGCGUGCGAUUGGAUUGCACGUCUAAGCAGUAAGGCUGAGUAUUAGGCAAAUCCGGUACUCGUUAAGGCUGAGCUGUGAUGGGGAGAAGACAUUGUGUCUUCGAGUCGUUGAUUUCACACUGCCGAGAAAAGCCUCUAGAUAGAAAAUAGGUGCCCGUACCGCAAACCGACACAGGUAGUCAAGAUGAGAAUUCUAAGGUGAGCGAGCGAACUCUCGUUAAGGAACUCGGCAAAAUGACCCCGUAACUUCGGGAGAAGGGGUGCUCUUUAGGGUUAACGCCCAGAAGAGCCGCAGUGAAUAGGCCCAAGCGACUGUUUAUCAAAAACACAGGUCUCUGCUAAACCGUAAGGUGAUGUAUAGGGGCUGACGCCUGCCCGGUGCUGGAAGGUUAAGAGGAGUGGUUAGCUUCUGCGAAGCUACGAAUCGAAGCCCCAGUAAACGGCGGCCGUAACUAUAACGGUCCUAAGGUAGCGAAAUUCCUUGUCGGGUAAGUUCCGACCCGCACGAAAGGCGUAACGAUUUGGGCACUGUCUCAACGAGAGACUCGGUGAAAUCAUAGUACCUGUGAAGAUGCAGGUUACCCGCGACAGGACGGAAAGACCCCGUGGAGCUUUACUGUAGCCUGAUAUUGAAAUUCGGCACAGCUUGUACAGGAUAGGUAGGAGCCUUUGAAACGUGAGCGCUAGCUUACGUGGAGGCGCUGGUGGGAUACUACCCUAGCUGUGUUGGCUUUCUAACCCGCACCACUUAUCGUGGUGGGAGACAGUGUCAGGCGGGCAGUUUGACUGGGGCGGUCGCCUCCUAAAAGGUAACGGAGGCGCUCAAAGGUUCCCUCAGAAUGGUUGGAAAUCAUUCAUAGAGUGUAAAGGCAUAAGGGAGCUUGACUGCGAGACCUACAAGUCGAGCAGGGUCGAAAGACGGACUUAGUGAUCCGGUGGUUCCGCAUGGAAGGGCCAUCGCUCAACGGAUAAAAGCUACCCCGGGGAUAACAGGCUUAUCUCCCCCAAGAGUUCACAUCGACGGGGAGGUUUGGCACCUCGAUGUCGGCUCAUCGCAUCCUGGGGCUGUAGUCGGUCCCAAGGGUUGGGCUGUUCGCCCAUUAAAGCGGUACGCGAGCUGGGUUCAGAACGUCGUGAGACAGUUCGGUCCCUAUCCGUCGUGGGCGUAGGAAAUUUGAGAGGAGCUGUCCUUAGUACGAGAGGACCGGGAUGGACAUACCUCUGGUGUACCAGUUGUCGUGCCAACGGCAUAGCUGGGUAGCUAUGUGUGGACGGGAUAAGUGCUGAAAGCAUCUAAGCAUGAAGCCCCCCUCAAGAUGAGAUUUCCCAACUUCGGUUAUAAGAUCCCUCAAAGAUGAUGAGGUUAAUAGGUUCGAGGUGGAAGCAUGGUGACAUGUGGAGCUGACGAAUACUAAUCGAUCGAAGACUUAAUCAA